AGGCCUCGUGGGCCCUCACAGAAAUGGCAGGGCAUUGGGACAAGCUGCUCCGGCUGCGCAGGCCGAAAGGUCCCUCGAGCAUCCAGAAAGCUCGCCUGACCCUUAUAGGCGAGGUGAGGCCCCCAACUCAUAUCCUGGGGAAACCAUGGAGGGGGAAUUCGGUUUCCACAGGCGAAGUCAACCGAAACGGCCCGCCAUGUUGAAGCCUGAGCAGAGCUCCCGUCAGGCCCCGCCCCCCGGCGCCAGGCUCGCUGGGCAGCGCCUCCUCCCGGAGGUCCCUCCGCUGGUUCCUUCAUUCCGCUGGUUCCUUCAUUUCGCUGAAUGGUUCCUGCUUCUCCACGCCAAUGACAUGGUGAGAGAAUACAGGGGGAGCUGAAGACAAACAACAUAAACUUAUGUUUGCAAAGCACCUUUUACUCUGUGAAAUAAAGUGAGUGCAAGCAGUAAAUGGAACAACAAGCUUUCAGAGUCACUGCAGGGCAAGAGCUGGGGAAGGAAGAGCUGGCUGGUCAGGGAGGAUGCACUGGAGAGAAAAACCAUCACUCAAUUGGCUAGGACAUUCCAGGACAUCAGGGAGACCACACAACAGCCAGAGUGUCUCUUCUCCUCCAAAUGAACGCAACACCUCUCCAGCAAGGGCACAGAACUGGGCUGAGGCUGAGUAUUGCUGAGGCAAUACCGUUUAGAACAUAGGCACGGGUAAGGAUUUCAUGACAAAAACACCAAAAGCAAUUGCAACCAAAGCAAAAAUUGAUAAAUGGGAUCUAAUUGAACCUAAGAGCUUCUGCAUAGCAAAAGAAACUAUCAUCGGAGUGAACAGACAGCAUACAGAAUGGGAGAAAAUUUUUGCAAUCUGUCUGUCUGACAAAGGCCUAAUAUCCAGAAUCUAUAAGGAACUUAAACAAAUUUACAAGAAAAAAAACAACCCCAUUAAAAAGUAGGCAAAGAACAUAAACACACACUUCUCAAAAGAAGGCAUUCAUGUGGCCAACAAACAUAUGGAAAAAAAAAGCUUAACAUCACUGAUCUUUAGAGAAAGGCAAAUCAAAACCACAAUGAGAUAUCAUCUCAUGCCAGUCAGAAUGGCAAUUAUUAAGAAGUCCAGAAACAACAGAUACUGGCAAGGUUGCAGAGAAAAAGGAAAGCUUUUACACUGUCGAUGGGAAUGUAAAUUAGUUCAACCCUUGUGGAAGACAGUAUGGCAAUUCCUCAAAGAUCUAAAGGCAGGAAUAGCAUUUGACGCAGCAAUCCCAUUACUGGAUAUAUACCCAAAGGAAUAUAAAUCAUUCUGUUAUAAAUAUACAUGCACCUGUAUGUUUAUUGCAACACUAUUCACAAUAGCAAAGACAUGGAAUCAACCCAAAUGCCUAUGAAUGAUAAACUGGAUAAAGACAAUGUGGUACACAUACACCAUGGAAUACUAUGCAGCCAUAAAAGGGAAGGAGAUCAUGUCCUUUGUAGGGACACAGAUGGAGCUGGAAGCUGUUAUCUUCAGCAAACUAAUAGAGGAACAGAAAACAAAACAACACAUGUUCUCACUUAUAAGUGGGCGCUGAAUGAUGAGAUCACAUGGACACAUGGCAGGGAAGAAAACACACUGAGGCCUGUUGCGGGGAGGGCCUGAUGGGGGGAGGGAGAGCAUCAGGAAGAACAGAUAAUGGAUGCUGGGCUUAAUACCAAGGUGAUGGGUUGAUCUGUGCAGCAAACCACCAUGGCACACAUUUACCAAUGUAACAAAACUGCACAUCCUGCACAUGUACUCCAGAACUUAAAAUAAAAGUUGAAGGAAACAAAAACAAAAAUGA
Molecule: long non-coding RNA, 1805 nt
Organism: Homo sapiens (human)
Lineage: Eukaryota; Metazoa; Chordata; Mammalia; Primates; Hominidae
Product: long intergenic non-protein coding RNA 345
Source: Ensembl